AGGAGCAACAGCCCCAGUGGCAGGGCCAGCUCUGGAAACCUGGAUUCAGCUCCAGCAGGAACUCCGGAGCUCUCCGUUUGCAGGGCCUGGAGGCUCCGGGGCGGG
Molecule: microRNA precursor, 105 nt
Filed under: Canis lupus familiaris (dog)
Lineage: Eukaryota; Metazoa; Chordata; Mammalia; Carnivora; Canidae
Also listed under: 1 other name
Description: mir-8834 microRNA precursor family
Rfam family: mir-8834 microRNA precursor family
Source: Rfam by way of RNAcentral